UGCUAAUCUGCGAUAAGCGCCGGUAAGGUGAUAUGAACCGUUAUAACCGGCGAUACCCGAAUGGGGAAACCCAGUGUGACUCGUCACACUAUCAUUAACUGAAUCCAUAGGUUAAUGAGGCGAACCGGGGGAACUGAAACAUCUAAGUACCCCGAGGAAAAGAAAUCAACCGAGAUUCCCCCAGUAGCGGCGAGCGAACGGGGAGGAGCCCAGAGCCUGAAUCAGCAUGUGUGUUAGUGGAAGCGUCUGGAAAGGCGCGCGAUACAGGGUGACAGCCCCGUACACAAAAGCGCAUGUGCUGUGAGCUCGAUGAGUAGGGCGGGACACGUGGUAUCCUGUCUGAAUAUGGGGGGACCAUCCUCCAAGGCUAA
Molecule: ribosomal RNA, 371 nt
Filed under: Salmonella enterica subsp. enterica serovar Rubislaw
Lineage: Bacteria; Pseudomonadati; Pseudomonadota; Gammaproteobacteria; Enterobacterales; Enterobacteriaceae
Description: partial 23S ribosomal RNA
Rfam family: Bacterial large subunit ribosomal RNA
Source: RNAcentral